AGCUCCAGUAGCGUAUAUUAAAGUUGUUGCAGUUAAAAAGCUCGUAGUCAGAUUUUGGAUUCUGCGAAUUGGUCUAGCUUUAUCGUUAGUAUUGGUUCGUGGGGUCUCUCUUUCUGGGGAAGCUGUUUGCUUUUUAUUAAGUGGGCAGUGAAUCCAGGACUUUUACUUUGAAAAAAUUAGAGUGUUUAAAGCAAGCAAUCGCUUGAAUACAUUAGCAUGGAAUAAUAGAAUAGGACUUUGGUUCUAUUUUGUUGGUUUCUAGGACCGAAGUAAUGAUUAAUAGGGAUAGUUGGGGGCAUUAGAAUCGACAUGUCAGAGGUGAAAUUCUUGAAUUUUUGUCGCGUCUAACUUCUGCGAAAGCAUUUGCCAAGGAUGUUUUCA
RNAcentral lists this ribosomal RNA (381 nucleotides) under uncultured fungus. Its description in RNAcentral is "SSU rRNA". It matches the Rfam family "Eukaryotic small subunit ribosomal RNA", at positions 587 to 972 of the family's 1831-position model. The record is from RNAcentral. Lineage: Eukaryota; Fungi.